RNAcentral lists this ribosomal RNA (448 nucleotides) under uncultured bacterium. RNAcentral's name for it is "bacterial SSU rRNA". It matches the Rfam family "Bacterial small subunit ribosomal RNA", at positions 328 to 792 of the family's 1533-position model. The record is from RNAcentral.
GGCCCAGACUCCUACGGGAGGCAGCAGUGGGGAAUAUUGGGCAAUGGACGCAAGUCUGACCCAGCAACGCCGCGUGAAGGAAGAAGGCUUUCGGGUUGUAAACUUCUUUUAAGGGGGAAGAGCAGAAGACGGUACCCCUUGAAUAAGCCCCGGCUAACUACGUGCCAGCAGCCGCGGUAAUACGUAGGUGGCAAGCGUUGUCCGGAUUUAUUGGGUUUAAAGGGUGCGUAGGCGGGAUGCCAAGUCAGCGGUAAAAAUGCGGUGCUCAACGCCGUCGAGCCGUUGAAACUGGCGUUCUUGAGUGGGCGAGAAGUAUGCGGAAUGCGUGGUGUAGCGGUGAAAUGCAUAGAUAUCACGCAGAACUCCGAUUGCGAAGGCAGCAUACCGGCGCCCUACUGACGCUGAGGCACGAAAGCGUGGGUAUCGAACAGGAUUAGAUACCCCAGUA